UACGGGGGGGGCAAGCGUUGUUCGGAAUUACUGGGCGUAAAGGGCUCGUAGGCGGCCAACUAAGUCGGAUGUGAAAUCUCCAGGCUUAACCUGGGAACUGCAUCCGAUACUGGAUGGCUUGAAUCCGGGAGAGGGAUGCAGAAUUCCAGGUGUAGCGGUGAAAUGCGUAGAUAUCUGGAGGAACACCGGUGGCGAAGGCGGCAUCCUGGACCAACACUGACACUGAGGAGCGAAAGCCAGGGGAGCAAACGGG
This 253-nucleotide ribosomal RNA is filed under the name uncultured bacterium. RNAcentral's name for it is "partial 16S ribosomal RNA". It matches the Rfam family "Bacterial small subunit ribosomal RNA", at positions 524 to 776 of the family's 1533-position model. The record is from RNAcentral.